CAAUAGUGUAUAUUAAAGUUGUUGCAGUUAAAAAGCUCGUAGUUGAACUUCUGGCAGUGUGCAGUCUUGGCUUCGGUCAGUCUGUUCGCUGCCAUCCGUCUGCAAACCUUGUUCGUCCUUCACUGGUUCGGCAAGGGGAGUAGACAUUUUACUUUGAAAAAAUUAGAGUGUUUCAAGCAGGCUUUCGCCAGAAUACUUUAGCAUGGAAUAAUGGAAUAGGACUCUUGUCCAUUUGGUUGGUUAUUGGACCAGAGUAAUGAUUAAUAGGGACAGUUGGGGGCAUUAGUAUUUAAUUGUCAGAGGUGAAAUUCAUGGAUUUAUUAAAGACUAACUUAUGCGAAAGCAUUUGCCAAGGAUGUUUUCAUUNA
RNAcentral lists this ribosomal RNA (368 nucleotides) under uncultured eukaryote. RNAcentral describes it as "partial 18S ribosomal RNA". It matches the Rfam family "Eukaryotic small subunit ribosomal RNA", at positions 592 to 976 of the family's 1831-position model. The record is from RNAcentral.